UCCUGGAAACGAGCACAGCAGACACUUCACCUGCUGCCAGCGGCCAGUUCUCCCUCGCCCUUCGCUCUGCCCGUCAGUGCCGAGCUGCUGCUGCUGCCUGGGCUUUUCCCGACGCCUGCUCUGAAGCCAAUCCCGGCUGGAUGGGCACUGCUGCCCCAGUGGAGACGGUCAGAGACACCCUGGAGGAGAUGGAAGUGGACAUGGUGGUGCAUGGAGAAGAAAUGAUGGAGGUGGACACAGAAGACACUGCCGAGGACAUGGAGGUGGACGUGGAGGACGACAUCGAGGAAAUGGAGGUUGAUGAGAAGGAUGAGGAGGAGCCCAUGGUCCUCGGAUGAAGAUGGAGCCCCACGAGCAAGAGAAGCAGAUGCUUCCCACGCCCAGCCCACCUGAGCCACUGCUGGCAGCAGAGUCCAGCGCUGCUGCAUCCUUUCCUCCAGGACUGAGGGAGAUGAGGGACUCAGAUAUGACCCCUUUGUAAUUACGUUUUAUGUUUAGAGGUUUUCUGUAAAUAUGUUUUAACGUUUGUAACGCUAUAGGCUCCCGUGUAAAUAUGUUAGCAAGUUUAUUAGUCUAUAGGCUCCCAUGUAAAUAUGUUUGGAAGUUUGUUAGACUAUAGGUACCCAUGUACAUAUGUUUGGAAGUUUGUUAGUCUAUAAGCACCCAUGUAAAGAUGUUCUGUAGAUUGUUACUCUAUAGGCUGCCAUGUAAACAUGUUCUGUAGACUGUUGUUUUUAUAAGGAUUGUCCAAAUAAAACAUCUUCUGUAAAUCCUA
Vidua chalybeata is the source of this 775-nucleotide long non-coding RNA. RefSeq lists it as uncharacterized. The record is from RefSeq and is a predicted model, not a curated record. Lineage: Eukaryota; Metazoa; Chordata; Aves; Passeriformes; Viduidae. The transcript has 2 exons.